UGGGGAAUAUUGGACAAUGGCGAAAGCCUGAUCCAGCCAUGCCGCGUGUGUGAAGAAGGUCUUCGGAUUGUAAAGCACUUUAAGUUGGGAGGAAGGGCAGUAAGCGAAUACCUUGCUGUUUUGACGUUACCGACAGAAUAAGCACCGGCUAACUCUGUGCCAGCAGCCGCGGUAAUACAGAGGGUGCAAGCGUUAAUCGGAAUUACUGGGCGUAAAGCGCGCGUAGGUGGUUCGUUAAGUUGAAUGUGAAAGCCCCGGGCUCAACCUGGGAACUGCAUCCAAAACUGGCGAGCUAGAGUAGGGCAGAGGGUGGUGGAAUUUCCUGUGUAGCGGUGAAAUGCGUAGAUAUAGGAAGGAACACCAGUGGCGAAGGCGACCACCUGGGCUCAUACUGACACUGAGGUGCGAAAGCGUGGGGAGCAAACAGG
Molecule: ribosomal RNA, 428 nt
Filed under: Pseudomonadota bacterium
Lineage: Bacteria; Pseudomonadati; Pseudomonadota
Description: Proteobacteria bacterium partial 16S ribosomal RNA
Rfam family: Bacterial small subunit ribosomal RNA
Source: RNAcentral